Molecule: ribosomal RNA, 496 nt
Filed under: uncultured bacterium
Lineage: Bacteria
Description: partial 16S ribosomal RNA
Rfam family: Bacterial small subunit ribosomal RNA
Source: RNAcentral
AUGAACGCUGGCGGCGUGCCUAAUACAUGCAAGUCGAGCGAACGGACGAGAAGCUUGCUUCUCUGAUGUUAGCGGCGGACGGGUGAGUAACACGUGGAUAACCUACCUAUAAGACUGGGAUAACUUCGGGAAACCGGAGCUAAUACCGGAUGAUAUUUUGAACCGCAUGGUUCAAAAGUGAAAGACGGUCUUGCUGUCACUUAUAGAUGGAUCCGCGCUGCAUUAGCUAGUUGGUAAGGUAACGGCUUACCAAGGCAACGAUGCAUAGCCGACCUGAGAGGGUGAUCGGCCACACUGGAGCUGAGACACGGUCCAGACUCCUACGGGAGGCAGCAGUAGGGAAUCUUCCGCAAUGGGCGAAAGCCUGACGGAGCAACGCCGCGUGAGUGAUGAAGGUCUUCGGAUCGUAAAACUCUGUUAUUAGGGAAGAACAUAUGUGUAAGUAACUGUGCACAUCUUGACGGUACCUAAUCAGAAAGCCACGGCUAACUACGUG